Molecule: long non-coding RNA, 282 nt
Filed under: Homo sapiens (human)
Lineage: Eukaryota; Metazoa; Chordata; Mammalia; Primates; Hominidae
Description: non-protein coding lnc-C14orf132-4:1
Source: RNAcentral
CCUGAACGCUGAAGCUGCCAUGGAUAUCUCAGAGGGCCGUUCAGCUGCCAACUCCAUCUCUGAGUCUGGGCCAGUGGGACUAAAGUCUCAGAAGGACCUGGAAAAUAUCGGGUCUUUGCCUUCAUUAGUCAUAUGGGCACCUCUACCAUCUGUGGUCACUACAUCUGCCACAUCAAGAAGGAGGGCAGAUGGGUGAUCCACAACCACCAGAAAGUGGGUGCCUCUGAGAAGCCACCCAAGGACCUGGAAUACAUCUACUUCUACCAGAGAGUGGCCAGCUAA